Molecule: ribosomal RNA, 301 nt
Filed under: uncultured bacterium
Lineage: Bacteria
Description: partial 16S ribosomal RNA
Rfam family: Bacterial small subunit ribosomal RNA
Source: RNAcentral
CAGCCGCCGCGGUAAAACGGAAGGUCCGGGCGUUAUCCGGAUUUAUUGGGUUUAAAGGGAGCGUAGGCCGGGGAUUAAGUGUGUUGUGAAAUGUAGGCGCCCAACGUCUGACUUGCAGCGCAUACUGGUUCCCUUGAGUACGCGCAACGCCGGCGGAAUUCGUCGUGUAGCGGUGAAAUGCUUAGAUAUGACGAAGAACACCGAUUGCGAAGGCAGCCGGCGGGAGCGCAACUGACGCUGAAGCUCGAAGGUGCGGGUAUCGAACAGGAUUAGAUACCCGCGUAGUCCCUGUCUCUUAUAC